AUUGAACGCUGGCGGAAUGCUUUACACAUGCAAGUCGAACGGCAGCACGGACUUCGGUCUGGUGGCGAGUGGCGAACGGGUGAGUAAUGUAUCGGAACGUGCCCAGUCGUGGGGGAUAACGUAGUGAAAAUUACGCUAAUACCGCAUACGAUCUAUGGAUGAAAGCGGGGGAUCGCAAGACCUCGCGCGAUUGGAGCGGCCGAAGUCAGAUUAGGUAGUGGGUGGGGUAAAGGCCCACCAAGCCAACGAUCUGUAGCUGGGCUGAGAGGACGACCAGCCACACUGGAACGGAGACACGGUCCAGACUCCUACGGGAGGCAGCAGUGGGGAAUUUUGGACAAUGGGCGAAAGCCUGAUCCAGCCAUUCCGCGUGCAGAAUGAAGGCCCUCGGGUUGUAAACUGCUUUUGUACAGAACGAAAAGGUUUCUACUAAUACUAGGAGCUCAUGACGGUACUGUAAGAAUAAGCACCGGCUAACUACGUGCCAGCAGCCGCCUAA
Molecule: ribosomal RNA, 499 nt
Filed under: uncultured bacterium
Lineage: Bacteria
Description: partial 16S ribosomal RNA
Rfam family: Bacterial small subunit ribosomal RNA
Source: RNAcentral